Molecule: non-coding RNA, 75 nt
Organism: Rhineura floridana
Lineage: Eukaryota; Metazoa; Chordata; Lepidosauria; Squamata; Rhineuridae
Product: small Cajal body-specific RNA 2
Exons: 1
Source: RefSeq, a predicted model, not a curated record
UCAGAAAUGAUGAAUUGAUUAUAUGGAUGAGGCUGGGGUCCCCCUUCCAAUGUGUAUCAAAGCGAUUCUGAUCUG